GUUUGACAAGUCUUAUGUGAAAUCUUCGGGCUCAACCCGAAGUCUGCAUGGGAAACUGUCGGGCUUGAGUAUGGGAGAGGUGAGUGGAAUUCCGGUGUACCGGUGAAAUGCGUAGAUAUCGGAAGGAACACCUGUGGCGAAAGCGGCUCACUGGACCAUAACUGACGCUGAUGCACGAAAGCUAAGGGAGCAAACAGGAUUAGAUACCCUGGUAGUCCUAGCCCUAAACGAUGAUUGUUUGAUGUGGGGGGUACCCAAUCCUCCCGUGUCGAAGCUAACGCGAUAAACAAUCCGACUGGGGAGUACGGUCGCGAGGCUGAAACUCAAAGGAAUUGACGGGGGCCCGCACAAGCGGUGGAGCAUGUGGUUUAAUUCGACGCAACGCGAAGAACCUUACCUGGGCUCGAAAUGUACAGGACAGCGGUAGAAAUACCGUCUCCCAGCAAUGGGUCUGUAUAUAGGUGCUGCAUGGCUGUCGUCAGCUCGUGUCGUGAGAUGUUGGGUUAAGUCCCGCAACGAGCGCAACCCUUAUCUCUAGUUGCUACCAUUUAGUUGAGCACUCUAGCGAAACCGCCUCGGAUAACGGGGAGGAAGGUGGGGAUGACGUCAAGUCCUCAUGGCCUUUAUGUCCAGGGCUACACACGUGCUACAAUGGCCGGUACAAAGCCGCUGCAAUCCCCGCGAGGGUGAGCUAACUCGGAAAAAGCCGGCCCUCAGUUCGGAUUGGAGUCUGCAACUCGACUCCAUGAAGCUGGAUCGCUAGUAAUCGUGGAUCAGCAUGCCACGUGAAUAC
Molecule: ribosomal RNA, 793 nt
Filed under: uncultured Acidobacteriota bacterium
Lineage: Bacteria; Pseudomonadati; Acidobacteriota
Description: bacterial SSU rRNA
Rfam family: Bacterial small subunit ribosomal RNA
Source: RNAcentral